GACGAACGCUGGCGGCGUGCCUAACACAUGCAAGUCGAGCGGGGUGGUUCUGAAGGGCAACCGGAGGGAUCACCUAGCGGCGAACGGGUGAGUAACGCGUGGAUAACCUACCUCAAGGUCUGGGAUAACAGCUCGAAAGGGCUGCUAAUACCGGAUGUGGUGCAUAUGCUGCAUGGUAGAUGCACUAAAGGGGAAACCCGCCAUGAGAUGGGUCCGCGUCCCAUCAGCUAGUUGGUGGGGUAAAGGCCUACCAAGGCGACGACGGGUAGCCGGCCUGAGAGGGUGACCGGCCACACUGGGACUGAGACACGGCCCAGACUCCUACGGGGGGCAGCAGUGGGGAAUAUUGCACAAUGGGCGAAAGCCUGAUGCAGCGACGCCGCGUGGGCGAAGAAGGCCUUGGGUUGUAAAGCCCUGUCUGGAGGGACGAAGUAAUGACGGUACCUCCGGAGGAAGCCACGGCUAACUACGUG
RNAcentral lists this ribosomal RNA (473 nucleotides) under uncultured bacterium. RNAcentral describes it as "bacterial SSU rRNA". It matches the Rfam family "Bacterial small subunit ribosomal RNA", at positions 28 to 507 of the family's 1533-position model. The record is from RNAcentral.